CAAGUCGUACGAGAAAGUGGAGCAAUCCAUGAGUAAAGUGGCGACCGGGUGAGUAACACGUGACUACCUACCUUCUAGUGGGGGAUAACUCCGGGAAACCGGAGCUAAUACCGCAUAACAUCGCAAGAUCAAAGCAGCAAUGCGCUGGAAGAGGGGGUCGCGGCUGAUUAGCUAGUUGGUAGGGUAAUGGCCUACCAAGGCAAAGAUCGGUAUCCGGCCUGAGAGGGCGCACGGACACACUGGAACUGAAACACGGUCCAGACUCCUACGGGAGGCAGCAGUGGGGAAUUUUGCGCAAUGGGGGAAACCCUGACGCAGCAACGCCGCGUGGAGGAUGAAGUCCCUUGGAACGUAAACUCCUUUCGACCAAGACGAUAAUGACGGUACUGGUGGAAGAAGCACCGGCUAACUCUGUGCCAGCAGCCGCGGCAAUACAGAGGGUGCGAGCGUUGUUCGGAAUUAUUGGGCGUAAAGGGCGCGUAGGCGGCGCCACAAGUCACUUGUGAAAACUCUGGGCUCAACUCAGAGCCUGCAAGCGAAACUGUGGUGCUGGAGUAUGGGAGAGGUGCGUGGAAUUCCCGGUGUAGC
Molecule: ribosomal RNA, 588 nt
Filed under: uncultured Acidobacteriota bacterium
Lineage: Bacteria; Pseudomonadati; Acidobacteriota
Description: bacterial SSU rRNA
Rfam family: Bacterial small subunit ribosomal RNA
Source: RNAcentral